UCUCUUGCCAACUGACUUGUGCGGACAGCGUUUCGUGCGUAAGUUUCUAGAAGUCAGCAGCCACGUGGUGACUCAGCGUGUUUCCGUUGGUCAACGAGCGUACUUGGAACUAUGAAUUCGAUGUUUUCGAAUUACGACCUCAACUCAAGCAAGACUACCCGCUGAACUUAAGCAUAU
RNAcentral lists this ribosomal RNA (177 nucleotides) under Steinernema hermaphroditum. Its description in RNAcentral is "partial 28S ribosomal RNA". Lineage: Eukaryota; Metazoa; Nematoda; Chromadorea; Rhabditida; Steinernematidae. The record is from RNAcentral.